CCUACGGGAGGCUGCAGUGGGGGAUAUUGCACAAUGGGGGGAACCCUGAUGCAGCGACGCCGCGUGAGUGAAGGAGCGUUUCGGCGCGUAAAGCCCUAUCGGCAGGGAAGAAGAAGGACGGUACCUGACUAGGAAGCCCCGGCUCACGACGUGCCAGCAGCCGCGGUAAUACGUAGGGGGCAAGCGUUAUCCGGAUUUACUGGGUGUAAAGGGGGCGCAGACGGCAGCGCAAGCCAGGAGUGAAAGCCCGGGGCCCAACCCCGGGAGUGCUCUUGGAACUGCGCGGCUGGAGUGCAGGAGGGGCAGGCGGAAUGCGUGGUGUAGCGGUGAAAUGCGUAGAGAUCAGGAGGAACCCCGGUGGCGAAGGCGGCCUGCUGGACUGCGACUGACGUUGAGGCCCGAAAGCGUGGGGAGCAAACAGGAUUAGAUACCCCGGUAGUC
This 441-nucleotide ribosomal RNA is filed under the name uncultured bacterium. RNAcentral's name for it is "partial 16S ribosomal RNA". It matches the Rfam family "Bacterial small subunit ribosomal RNA", at positions 338 to 795 of the family's 1533-position model. The record is from RNAcentral.